GCUAACAAUAAAAUGCAACAUUGUUCAAUAAAAUCUGGUCUGAGGCCAAGUUCAUAGCAAUGCAAGAGUAUCCUAUUAAGAGAAUGAACUCUUGCCACUGUGGUGGUAGGUGUACAGAUACUUUUAACAAAAAUGAUUGCUGAUAAAGUACUGGGAAUAAACUAAGUGUUCCAUAGGUAAAGCCGGUUGACAUACCCUACAGGCCAAAGGUAACACAACGAAUAUCAUCUCUACAAUAUGAAAAUGGAACUACAUUGACUAUAAUUAUAAUAAAUAAGACCUCAAGGCAUUACUCCCUCCAUUCCACUUUCUUAGGCAUAGAACACCAAUCUCAGGGACAAACUACCAAGACCCGAGGAGAGAAAGAUCGGUUGGAUAGAUAACAGUAAUUCGAUCCAAAUUGUGUCAAAUCCUCGACUCCAACGCCUCGUUUGGCCUCAGAGAUGUGCACACUGCUCUCGGUCAGCCAUUCCUGCAUUCCAAUGAAAUUAACAGCAAGCAUUCACAUAUUGGUGAAGGUAGCUAGGAUACAUUCUUUUGUAGUUGCUUUGUCUGCCUCAUAGCCUGAUAAUGAGCAGCAAGCAUACAUUUAUUUUAUGUUCAGCAUCAGAACAACCAUAGAACAAAACAAUUGAUGGGAAAAAUACAACAAUUUUUUGCUCUGUCAAUGUCGUCGAGACUGUCUUGCACUGUAAGCGUACUUGGCUAGGUCCAUGUGAUGUGCGCUCAGCUGUUGUAGCUGCUGGCUAUAGUUGUAGAUAGGUUGUUGUUGUAGUACAAUUUAGCUUAGCAUUUUGACUGUUUUGUGAUAUGAAUGUAAUCAUGAUUUUGGAAGCAAUACCAAAAAGAAAAAAAGGUGUCUACUGAUUUGGAGUGUCCAUAUCUAACCUGAAGGGUGUAAUCUUCAGUUCUGUUUCUACUAGGGACAGGAAAAUAUUUUCUGAAGUUCCCUUGCUUAGUAAUGUUGAAUGUUGUCUUAUGAUUUGGAGUGUCAAAUUCAGUUCUCUAAACUGGAAAGCUCCAGGGGAGAAAUUCCUAUGCCAUUUAACACACACAAAAACAAACAGAUGGUACUCAUCAAUUGAAAUGAGGUUAGUAGAGGCAUUGUUGUAAAAUUUCAGCAAAGAAAGGAAGCAAGGCAUCAUGAUUAUCAGUCAAACAUGUAUAUGACUUGUCCAAAAACAAAAAACACAUAUACCUUCACAGUUGCGUGUGUGUGUGUGUCUGUGUACGGAAUAACCUUCAGUAACAAAGGAAAAUAAGAAUAAUGUUCAGAUUAGACUGCACCAAGUAACACAUCACUUCGAAAUUGCUUGAGCAAAUUUUUUUUACCAACCAGCAUGCAAUGGUAAAAAUCUGUCCAUCGGAAGCAUGAAAUAAGAAAGUGACUUCAGUACACUUUUCAGGAAAGAAGCAAGAUAAUUUAUUGCACCUUGUGUAUACAUCGAGAUCUUUAAGAAAAAUAAUUUGAGAAGGAUAGAGAGGCUACUUACAGAACGUCAGGGCACAUCAAAGCUAAAAAUCAUGGGUGACAGCUUGUUUCCUGUCAACCCAAGAUAUGGUAGAAUGAAGAUAUCCACAUGCAUAAGUUUUCCUGGAUGUUAAAUGAUAAAUUUAGUAGCUUCAUAACAUUUUAGCACAUCAAAAUACGACACACGGCACUGAAAACACAACAAAAUUGUAAUAAAUCAAAGACGCUUAUUUUGGGAUGGAGUAUACUGGAUAAACAUGACGACAUCUUUUCUACUGCGUCUAUCCUAAAUGAGAAGAAACAGAUCAGUUCCGUACAUAGUAAAAGUGAUUUGCUAAUCUAAAUUGCAAAAACCUGAGGGAAGUCCGUAUCCAAUUCCAUGAUACUCUUUCUGGUCAGGUAAUCCAGUAUCUGCCAACUACUAUUCUCUCAACCACAUCCUGAACACACCGCCCUUGUCCGAUUUUAGAGUUUAAACUCUAGCAUCAACAUAUUAUCCCUAUUAGAAAUGGAUAUAAUCAAUGGUACAAUAAACACACACAAAACAGAAAAUAAUAUGGGAACCAAUCAUCCCUGAUUUUUUAUCGGAUGAGAAAAGUUGUGUUGAGAAGAAGAAAUAAGUGCUAUGAAACGUGAAAGCCUGAUAUUCCAUAUUAGCAUUGUAUGCUUUUUGCAUAUGCAAGUCGCAGCAAAGAACAAUCUGGACAAACGGGGUUAGCAAAAGACCUGUGUAACAACGAAAUCAAUCCAAGCAGCAGUAGUCCUAUGAAGCGAAUCAUCGCGCACCUUUCGACCCAACCUGCAAUCUGAGAAAAUCAUAAAAAUAAGCUCAGAGAUGGUAAAAAUCAGUGUGGCUAAUAUUAGGGGGAGUACAACUUCCAGAGUAGAGGACGGUCCAGAGUGGAUGAUGAUGGCAGCAUAGACUGGUUUUUAAACGCGAAUGCAGCAACAAUUUUUCCGCAUUUGUAGGGUAAUGGAGGGCGAUCUAUAGAGGCCAUGAAUGGCGAUCUAUAGAGGCCAUGCAUGCUGCAGUGCCUUGGGCCGUUUCAGUUUUUCAUGGGCACUUGUGGCCGGCAGAGCAUACGUCGUGGAGGCGAAAGGAUAGCGGCGGCAAUAGGGUGGUAGCGGGAAGGUCAAUCAACAGGUGAGUUAAUGCGCACCUGUGGCCGGGGAGCGUCGGAGGUGGCGGUGGUCAUGACGGAGACUGGCCGGGAGCCCUGCCAGCCGUGACAGCGGCGGAGGUGACCUGGACCAGUAAAUCGGCUGAGGGGGCGAUUGCUUCCGAGCCUUAAUGGCGCUGGCGGGGGAGGCCGGCGAGCCUCUCCUUGGUUCCGACCGUCGGCGUGGGGAAAAUUUGGGGAAAAGAUGACUACGGAAAAGCUUGGUGUUUUUUACUUUGGUGGGUUCACGCACGAGGUGGUUGUCCUCUUCUGUAC
RNAcentral lists this long non-coding RNA (2907 nucleotides) under Triticum aestivum (bread wheat). Its description in RNAcentral is "long non-coding RNA (TAES_LNC008724)". The record is from RNAcentral. Lineage: Eukaryota; Viridiplantae; Streptophyta; Magnoliopsida; Poales; Poaceae.